GGCUCUUUGAAUACCAUAGAUAAAGAGUCGAACCUGCCCAGUGGUUUAUACUAAACGGCUGCAGUACCCUGACUGUACAAAGGUAGCACAAGGAUUUGCUUUUUAAUUGGAGGAUUGAAUGAAUGGUUUGACGAAAAUAUAACUGUCUCUUCUUCAUUGACUAAAAGUUAUUUUUUAGGUUAAAAAGCCUAAAUGAAAUUAGAGGACGAGAAGACCCUAUCGAGCUUUAAUGGCUUAUCUGUAACGGUAUAUAGAUUAGAUUUAAUGUUAUUUAUAAAAAUUUUGGUUGGGGCGACUGUGGAGCAGAAAAAACCUCCAUUGAUUUAAAAAUUAAGCUAGGAUCCAAAAUUAAUUGAUACUAGAAAAUAGUUACCGUAGGGAUAACAGCGUAAAUUUUUUUGAGAGACCCAAUCGAAGAAAAACAUUUGCGACCUCGAUGUUGGAUUAAGGCUAAAAGCUAGAAGGUGCAGAAGCUUUCAUAGCUGGUCUGUUCGACCAUUAAAUCCUU
RNAcentral lists this ribosomal RNA (508 nucleotides) under Stomacosmethis jagori. RNAcentral describes it as "partial 16S ribosomal RNA". It matches the Rfam family "Bacterial large subunit ribosomal RNA", at positions 1819 to 2597 of the family's 2925-position model. Lineage: Eukaryota; Metazoa; Mollusca; Gastropoda; Architaenioglossa; Alycaeidae. The record is from RNAcentral.